This 409-nucleotide ribosomal RNA is filed under the name bacterium. Its description in RNAcentral is "partial 16S ribosomal RNA". It matches the Rfam family "Bacterial small subunit ribosomal RNA", at positions 355 to 776 of the family's 1533-position model. The record is from RNAcentral.
UGGGGAAUAUUGCACAAUGGGCGAAAGCCUGAUGCAGCGACGCCGCGUGAGGGAUGACGGCCUUCGGGUUGUAAACCUCUUUCAGCAGGGACGAAGCGCAAGUGACGGUACCUGCAGAAGAAGCACCGGCUAACUACGUGCCAGCAGCCGCGGUAAUACGUAGGGUGCAAGCGUUGUCCGGAAUUACUGGGCGUAAAGAGUUCGUAGGCGGUUUGUCGCGUCGUUUGUGAAAACCAGCAGCUCAACUGCUGGCGUGCAGGCGAUACGGGCAGGCUUGAGUACUGCAGGGGAGACUGGAAUUCCUGGUGUAGCGGUGAAAUGCGCAGAUAUCAGGAGGAACACCGGUGGCGAAGGCGGGUCUCUGGGCAGUAACUGACGCUGAGGAACGAAAGCGUGGGUAGCGAACAGG